AGAGUUUGAUCAUGGCUCAGAAUCAACGCUGGCGGCGUGCCUAACACAUGCAAGUCGAACGCGAAAGGGACUUCGGUCCUGAGUAGAGUGGCGAACGGGUGAGUAACGCGUGGGUGACCUACCCUCGAGUGGGGGAUAACGUUCCGAAAGGGACGCUAAUACCGCAUGACAUUCCGGGUUUGAAGACCUGGAAAUCAAAGCCGGGGACCGUAAGGCCUGGCGCUUGAGGAGGGGCCCGCGUCUGAUUAGCUAGUUGGCGGGGUAACGGCCCACCAAGGCGACGAUCAGUAGCCGGCCUGAGAGGGCGGACGGCCACACUGGGACUGAGACACGGCCCAGACUCCUACGGGAGGCAGCAGUGGGGAAUUGUUCGCAAUGGGCGCAAGCCUGACGACGCAACGCCGCGUGGAGGAUGAAGGUCUUCGGAUUGUAAACUCCUGUUGAUCGGGACGAAAAGCUUCAACCUAAUACGUUGAAGACUGACGGUACCGGUUGAGGAAGCCACGGCUAACUCUGUGCCAGCAGCCGCGGUAAUACAGAGGUGGCAAGCGUUGUUCGGAAUUACUGGGCGUAAAGGGCGCGUAGGCGGCCUCCUAAGUCGGACGUGAAAGCCCCAGGCUUAACCUGGGAACUGCGUCCGAUACUGGGAGGCUUGGAUUCGGGAGAGGGAUGUGGAAUUCCAGGUGUAGCGGUGAAAUGCGUAGAUAUCUGGAGGAACACCGGUGGCGAAGGCGGCAUCCUGGACCGAGAUCGACGCUGAGGCGCGAAAGCUAGGGGAGCAAACGGGAUUAGAUACCCUGGUAGUCCC
This 808-nucleotide ribosomal RNA is filed under the name uncultured bacterium. RNAcentral's name for it is "bacterial SSU rRNA". It matches the Rfam family "Bacterial small subunit ribosomal RNA", at positions 8 to 797 of the family's 1533-position model. The record is from RNAcentral.